GGCAGCAGUGAGGAAUAUUGGACAAUGGGCGAAAGCCUGAUCCAGCCAUGCCGCGUGCAGGAAGACUGCCCUAUGGGUUGUAAACUGCUUUUGUACGGGAAGAAACACCCCCACGUGUGGGGGCUUGACGGUACCGUAAGAAUAAGCAUCGGCUAACUCCGUGCCAGCAGCCGCGGUAAUACGGAGGAUGCAAGCGUUAUCCGGAAUCAUUGGGUUUAAAGGGUCCGUAGGCGGGCAAUUAAGUCAGAGGUGAAAGUCUGCGGCUCAACCGUAGAACUGCCUUUGAAACUGGUUGUCUUGAAUCGUUGUGAAGUGGUUAGAAUGAGCAGUGUAGCGGUGAAAUGCUUAGAGAUUGCUCAGAAUACCGAUUGCGAAGGCAGAUCACUAACAACGUAUUGACGCUGAGGGACGAAAGCGUGGGGAGCGAACAGGAUUAGAUACCCUGGUAGUCCACGCCGUAAACGAUGGAUACUAGCUGUCCGGUCUUCGGACUGGGUGGCCAAGCGAAAGUGAUAAGUAUCCCACCUGGGGAGUACGUUCGCAAGAAUGAAACUCAAAGGAAUUGACGG
RNAcentral lists this ribosomal RNA (569 nucleotides) under uncultured Flavobacterium sp. RNAcentral's name for it is "bacterial SSU rRNA". It matches the Rfam family "Bacterial small subunit ribosomal RNA", at positions 347 to 916 of the family's 1533-position model. Lineage: Bacteria; Pseudomonadati; Bacteroidota; Flavobacteriia; Flavobacteriales; Flavobacteriaceae. The record is from RNAcentral.